This is a long non-coding RNA of Ictalurus punctatus (channel catfish), 557 nucleotides long. NCBI's taxonomy places the organism in Eukaryota, Metazoa, Chordata, Actinopteri, Siluriformes, Ictaluridae. The record is from Ensembl.
GAUAGAUAGACAGAGAGAUAGAGAGAUACUGUAGAUAGAUAGAUAGACAGAGAGAUAGAGAGAUACUGUAGAUAGAUAGACAGACAGAGAGAGAGAUACUGUAGAUAGAUAGACAGACAGACAGAGAGAUAGAUACUGUACAUAGAUAGACAGAGAGAUAGAGAGAUACUGUAGAUAGAUAGGCAGAGAGAUAGAGAGAUACUGUAGAGAGAUAGAUAGAUAGAUCCAGCUACAGGAUUUAUAAGCAUAAUGCCUUUUGUGACAUUUUUAUUUCUUCUUCUUUUUUUAAUAGUUGCUUAUUUAUUAAUUAAUGCAUAUUUAUUUAUCUGUAAUUGACACUUAACGAGCAAUCAAACGAACUCCUGAGCACACGCCAUGAAGCAGUUCUGCGCCUCAGCUGGAUUCCAAAUCCAGUGUUCCGCGUCCUCAGGUGCGUAAACUUGAUGCGCCACAGAAACCGCAGCACUUAGACACCCGAAAACCCCCGUGUGCUCCUUCAUCUCCCUCUGCUCCAUCCUCCUGCUCCACCAUCCUCUCCACAUACUCCACACCAUCUC